UACGUAGGUGGCAAGCGUUGUCCGGAAUCACUGGGCGUAAAGGGCGCGUAGGCGGCUCAUGAAGGCUGUGGUGAAAGUCCGGGGCUCAACCUCGGAUCGGCCGUGGCGACUCGUGGGCUGGAGCACUGUAGAGGCGGGUGGAAUUCCGGGUGUAGCGGUGGAAUGCGUAGAGAUCCGGAAGAACACCAGUGGCGAAGGCGGCCCGCUGGGCAGUGGCUGACGCUGAGGCGCGACAGCGUGGGGAGCAAACAGG
RNAcentral lists this ribosomal RNA (253 nucleotides) under uncultured bacterium. Its description in RNAcentral is "partial 16S ribosomal RNA". It matches the Rfam family "Bacterial small subunit ribosomal RNA", at positions 524 to 776 of the family's 1533-position model. The record is from RNAcentral.